UACAGAGGUGCCAAGCGUUAGGCGGAAUCACUGGGCUUAAAGCGCGUGUAGGUGGAUGGGUAAGUAUCUUGUGAAAUCCCACGGCUCAACCGUGGAACUGCUGGAUAUACUGCCUGUCUUGAGGCACUCAGGGGCAGCUGGAACAAAUGGUGGAGCGGUGAAAUGCGUAGAUAUCAUUUGGAACGCCAAUGGUGAAAACAGGUAGCUGGGGGUGUGCUGACGCUGAGACACGAAAGCCAGGGGAGCAAACGGG
This 253-nucleotide ribosomal RNA is filed under the name uncultured bacterium. Its description in RNAcentral is "partial 16S ribosomal RNA". It matches the Rfam family "Bacterial small subunit ribosomal RNA", at positions 524 to 776 of the family's 1533-position model. The record is from RNAcentral.